This 686-nucleotide long non-coding RNA is filed under the name Sorghum bicolor (sorghum). Its description in RNAcentral is "long non-coding RNA (SBIC_LNC011973)". Lineage: Eukaryota; Viridiplantae; Streptophyta; Magnoliopsida; Poales; Poaceae. The record is from RNAcentral.
AGGCACAAAAACACAGUUAAUGUGAGUGGACAUAAUAUUUUCAGGCACAAAAACAUAGCUUGUGAGAAACUGUAAAAAAUCCCAAAUCAAUCUCAACUCCUCAGGUUGGUAGACUCUGUCAACCAUAAACACAAUUCAUUCUCAUUUCCUCAUCCCAAUUCCUUAGGUUGGCAGAUCCAGACAGAGGCAGCAGAGGGAGGAGCUCACCGGAGGCAGGGCACCUAAGCCGAUACCGUCAUUGCGCCUUCGCCGGUGGGAAGCCGAGCUCGGCCUCACGCAGCGGCUUGGCGCACGACAAACGACGGCAAGGUGGGAGGCGCUAGAGCUGGAAGGUGAAAGGGAGGGGAGCUCGCCUUGAGUUUGGCAUCGGUGUCGGCCUGGAGCCCUGACCUGGGCAGCAGGUGUUGGUGAAGGCGGCCUGGCGUCGAGCGGCGGCGGCGGCCUGACGCCCUAACUCCGGCAGCAGCGUUGAGAGGCGUGGGGAGGACGAGAGCUGCAGCUUCGGGCUUCGGCGUCAAGCGGUUAGGGCCCUAACUUCGGCUGCAGCUUGCGCCAACGCCAUCCUUGUCGCUGCCUGCUGCCGAUUGGGGAAGAGGGAUGGGCAAACCAGCGCCCAUUGGGGAUGUCGGGAUGGCAUGAAUCGAUGACGUGUGUGGUUCCGACCCAGUGGGAGUGGGGAGGUUUUG